GACGAACGCUGGCGGCGUGCUUAACACAUGCAAGUCGAACGGAAAGGCCCUGCUUUUGUGGGGUGCUCGAGUGGCGAACGGGUGAGUAACACGUGAGUAACCUGCCCUUGACUUUGGGAUAACUUCCGGAAACUGGGGCUAAUACCGGAUAGGAGCUCCUGCUGCAUGGUGGGGGUUGGAAAGUUUCGGCGGUUGGGGAUGGACUCGCGGCUUAUCAGCUUGUUGGUGGGGUAGUGGCUUACCAAGGCUUUGACGGGUAGCCGGCCUGAGAGGGUGACCGGCCACAUUGGGACUGAGAUACGGCCCAGACUCCUACGGGAGGCAGCAGUGGGGAAUAUUGCACAAUGGGCGGAAGCCUGAUGCAGCAACGCCGCGUGCGGGAUGACGGCCUUCGGGUUGUAAACCGCUUUCGCCUGUGACGAAGCGUGAGUGACGGUAAUGGGUAAAGAAGCACCGGCUAACUACGUGCCAGCAGCCGCGGUGAUACGUAGGGUGCGAGCGUUGUCCGGAUUUAUUGGGCGUAAAGGGCUCGUAGGUGGUUGAUCGCGUCGGAAGUGUAAUCUUGGGGCUUAACCCUGAGCGUGCUUUCGAUACGGGUUGACUUGAGGAAGGUAGGGGAGAAUGGAAUUCCUGGUGGAGCGGUGGAAUGCGCAGAUAUCAGGAGGAACACCAGUGGCGAAGGCGGUUCUCUGGGCCUUUCCUGACGCUGAGGAGCGAAAGCGUGGGGAGCGAACAGGCUUAGAUACCCUGGUAGUCCACGCUGUAAACGGUGGGUACUAGGUGUGGGGUCCAUUCCACGGGUUCCGUGCCGUAGCUAACGCUUUAAGUACCCCGCCUGGGGAGUACGGCCGCAAGGCUAAAACUCAAAGGAAUUGACGGGGCCCCGCACAAGCGGCGGAGCAUGCGGAUUAAUUCGAUGCAACGCGUAGAACCUUACCUGGGUUUGACAUGGAUCGGGAGUGCUCAGAGAUGGGUGUGCCUCUUUUGGGGUCGGUUCACAGGUGGUGCAUGGCUGUCGUCAGCUCGUGUCGUGAGAUGUUGGGUUAAGUCCCGCAACGAGCGCAACCCUUGUUCACUGUUGCCAGCACGUUAUGGUGGGGACUCAGUGGAGACCGCCGGGGUCAACUCGGAGGAAGGUGGGGAUGACGUCAAGUCAUCAUGCCCCUUAUGUCCAGGGCUUCACGCAUGCUACAAUGGCUGGUACAGAGAGUGGCGAGCCUGUGAGGGUGAGCGAAUCUCGGAAAGCCGGUCUCAGUUCGGAUUGGGGUCUGCAACUCGACCUCAUGAAGUCGGAGUCGCUAGUAAUCGCAGAUCAGCAACGCUGCGGUGAAUACGUUCCCGGG
RNAcentral lists this ribosomal RNA (1343 nucleotides) under uncultured bacterium. Its description in RNAcentral is "16S ribosomal RNA". It matches the Rfam family "Bacterial small subunit ribosomal RNA", at positions 28 to 1378 of the family's 1533-position model. The record is from RNAcentral.